Molecule: ribosomal RNA, 382 nt
Filed under: uncultured eukaryote
Lineage: Eukaryota
Description: partial 18S ribosomal RNA
Rfam family: Eukaryotic small subunit ribosomal RNA
Source: RNAcentral
CAAUAGCGUAUAUUAAAGUUGUUGCAGUUAAAAAGCUCGUAGUUGGAUUUCUGGUUGAAGCGACCGGUCGGGCGUUGAUCCGUCUGCACUGGAGUCGGUUUUGGCCAUCCUCUAGGAAAGUGCGUCUGGUAUUAAGUUAUCGGGCGUAUGAUCCUGGUCUUUUACUGUGAAAAAAUUAGAGUGUUUAAAGCAGGCCUUCGCCUUGAAUACAUUAGCAUGGAAUAAUAAGAUAGGACUUUGGUCUAUUUUGUUGGUUUGCAGACCGAAGUAAUGAUUAAUAGGGAUAGUUGGGGGUAUUUAUAUUCCGAUGUCAGAGGUGAAAUUCUUAGAUUUGCUGAAGAUGAACAACUGCGAAAGCAUUUACCAAGGAUGUUUNCAUUAA